Molecule: long non-coding RNA, 2240 nt
Organism: Phyllostomus discolor (pale spear-nosed bat)
Lineage: Eukaryota; Metazoa; Chordata; Mammalia; Chiroptera; Phyllostomidae
Exons: 3
Source: RefSeq, a predicted model, not a curated record
UGACUGGCGAUCAAAACUGCAACCCAGGCGUGUGCCCUGACCAGAAUCAAACCCACAACCCUUCGCUUUGAGGAACAACACCGAACCAGCUGAGCCCCACCAGUCUGGGCCUUCCUUAUUCUUUUUUAAUGACUAUGUUAUCUCAACAAGUGUGUGCACCACGCCACACAACAUAACAGCACACGCUCUGUUGUUGAACACCUAGAGUCUGUCUCUCUUUUUGAACUUUAUAUAGAACUUUGGGAAAAAACGUCAUUUUUUUGCCCAGCAGUCUCUGCUUUUUAGGUCAUUUCAUUAUGAGGCAUUCCCUGAAGCGGAUUUCUUGAAUCGAGGCUGAACCGAUUUUUAUUCAGUGGGAGGGUUUUUAUUGCUGAAAUACACAGAGUAAUCCCCAUCCAGUUAGUUGUUAGUCCUUUGGGAUUAUAGAUCCUUUGGAGACUAUGAUUAAGGUUAUGGACCGUUCUCCAGACACACACACACACACACACACACACACAAAUUGUUUGUAUUCACAAACCAACGUACAAUUUCAACAGUUUCUCAGACCCUCUGAUGCCCAUUUGCUGACAUCUCUAUUAAAUUAAAAAUAUUGUCUUAUCUACUGAAUAUGAUAUCUCAUAAUACUCUGCCAAAUAAGUUCACACAGCAACUCUUGUAUCUGUCAAGUACCUUUGUUUUAAACCACCACUUACUGAGCACGAGUGCCAGCACUGUGCCAGACACUAGAGGCAGAGGAACAAAUGCCCCUGGCUUCAAGGAAUCCAGAGUCUACUGGGGAAGACAUGCAAUAACAAGUAUUUACAAUGAAAUAUGUGCAAUAACAGAAGUAUUCAUUGGACAAAAUGGAGAUACGAAUUACAGAUUGAUGAGGUUUUUUUUUUUUAAUCAGGGGGUUGCAAAGAAUGAAGAAACAUUCUCCUGAAUGUUCGGAUAGAAGAAACGGCAGCAGCAAAGGGAGAGAAGCAUCCUAUAACCUGGCACAGAUAGGAAACUACCCACGUUUAACAUGACCGGGUUAGAGUGGUUGUGCGCAGGAUGGGACAAGGCUCUUCCUUACUUGGGCCCGCGACUAGGAAAAACAACGCUGACCUGUAGGACCUCAGCAGCUGGGCUGAUAACACAAAGGAAACCACAAAAGAAGAUUUCCCUCCAAAUACUUCCUUUAUUGCCCAAACCUACUCUUCCUGCACACAAUGAAAACAUUUGGACUGUUUUGUUCUGCAGCUAUCUGAAGUUCGGCAUUCAACACACAACGUUUAAAACCUACCUAUUGGUACAAACUGGCAACGCAUUUUAAAUUUAACAUCGCCCGAUGGCUUUCAUUUUGCAAACGGAAGUAUUAGGAAGCCUAUACAAUGGUUAUGACAAUUUCUUCAUCAAUUUGUCUUGAAAAAUUACCAUAAAUUAUGACUUAACAUUCACUGAGAAUGUUGCUUUUCAGCCCAUCAGUUAACACUCCUGCUACUAUCAUCUCAGGAAAAACAUUUGGUUAUUUUGAAUUUAACUCAACUUUUUAAGUGUAACGAAGCAUACUUGUUACUUUGAAGUUGCUGGUUUAAUUCUAGUGAAGCAUGUGUAAUUUUUAAAAACACUCAUACUUCUGUGGAAAAUGACUGCAACCAAUUUUGAUAAUGCAAUCUAGUAAAUGUCUUUACUUGAUCUACUUUCACCAAAAGUAUGACUUACAAUGCUUGUAUAGAAGUAAUAUUUUUCCUCUUGCUGUGGUAAAUUUUUAGAAUAAUUUACUUUCUCUUGAAAUUUUAAUUUGCUUAGGUUUCUACCAUGCUUAUCUUUGUUUUCUUAAAAUAAUACCCCAUUCACGCACAUCAUAGAUCUACAUGCAUAGAACCCUAUGUAUAAAUUAUAAUGUGGGAUUAUGCAUUAAUAAAACUUGUUUUCUUGUAUGACUAGAAAAGAAAAAUAGAGUUUUAAAGUUUAAAUAUCAACAACUGACAUUGAAUAAACCAGUUGCAGUUUACAAAGCUGUCAGCACAGAGAAACACCUUCGUUUUUCUUCUUUUCAAAGUACCUUUUGGGUCUCCAAAUGGCAUCCCAUUCAACACCACUGAACUUUGUCAAAUAGGGAUCUUCAAGGUCACCUUAAAAUAACAAAAAGAUGUGCUCUCAUUACCAGUUAUCUCAUCGACCCAUAGGACAUGGUUGUGGCUCUUCAAAUUUAUACUAACAAAAAAAAAUGUUUUACAUGAAUGAAAAAGGAAUCCAAAAGGAGCAACUUUUUU